This is a long non-coding RNA of Felis catus (domestic cat), 750 nucleotides long. RefSeq lists it as uncharacterized. Lineage: Eukaryota; Metazoa; Chordata; Mammalia; Carnivora; Felidae. The transcript has 4 exons. The record is from RefSeq and is a predicted model, not a curated record.
AGGAGACUGUGGAGCUGGGGGCGGGGAUGGCGCCCGUGUAGCACUACAAGGACUGCCUGAACAAAGUGGUUUCUGACACCCAGUCUGGGGAGGAGAGACCGUGGUUUCACCAUUUUUCUCCCCAUCACCAACAAGAAACUCUGUUCUAUUGAUUAUCUCUUCACUCACCUGAAUCUACAAAUUCUACUUAUUCCUACCUGACCGUCAAAGUAAAAAUUGCACCCACAAAGUUAAACAGGAUCCUCUUCUCAUAUCUCAAGAGAUUUGGAUGGCUGAAGUAAAGUGACAUCAGGAAUUCAGCAUUUUGAGGAUUCAAUUCAAGGCACCACCCUGCAUUUAACUGGUAGGUCUCCCUACUCUCCUCUGGUCUGUGGUGUUUUCUCAGUCUUAUCUUGUUUUUCAAGAUUUUAGCAGUUUUGAGGAACCCCAUCCAUGUGUCCUGUGGAAUUACCCCCAAUCUGGAUUUGUUUGAUUUUUUCCUUAUGGUUAGGUUUUGGGGGAAGAGAGGAAGUAUUUUCUUUGUCAUAUCACAUUGAGGGUACAUUCUAUCCACAGGAUAUCACUGAUAACGCUAAGCUUGGUUAACGUAGUAUUUGGUAGGUUUCUCCACUGUAAAGCUACUGUUUUUCCCUUUCCCUAUUCAAUUCUUUGAAAGAGAGUCAUUAAGCCCAGCCCACCCUUCUGAAGGGGGGGGGUAUAUUUAUAUGUAUGAUUUGAAUUCUUUUUUUUUGUUUAUUUAUUCUUGAGAGA